CAAUAGCGUAUAUUAAAGUUGUUGCAGUUAAAAAGCUCGUAGUUGGAUUUGUGGCGUACGGUGUGUUCCGGGCACUUGUUGUCUGAGUAACCUGCUGUUGCCAUCCUUGGGUGGAACCUGUGUGGCAUUAGGUUGUCGUGCAGGGGAUGCCCAUCAUUUACUGUGAAAAGAUUAGAGUGUUCAAAGCAGGCUUAUGCCGUUGAAUAUAUUAGCAUGGAAUAAUGAGAUAGGACUUUUUUGCUAUUUUGUUGGUUUGCGCAAGAAGGUAAUGAUUAAUAGGGACAGUUGGGGGUAUUCGUAUUCCAUUGUCAGAGGUGAAAUUCUUGGAUUUUUGGAAGACGAACUACUGCGAAAGCAUUUACCAAGGAUGUUUUCAUUAA
This 380-nucleotide ribosomal RNA is filed under the name uncultured eukaryote. RNAcentral's name for it is "partial 18S ribosomal RNA". It matches the Rfam family "Eukaryotic small subunit ribosomal RNA", at positions 592 to 976 of the family's 1831-position model. The record is from RNAcentral.